Molecule: long non-coding RNA, 427 nt
Organism: Mytilus trossulus (common blue mussel)
Lineage: Eukaryota; Metazoa; Mollusca; Bivalvia; Mytilida; Mytilidae
Exons: 3
Source: RefSeq, a predicted model, not a curated record
AGCCUCGAGACAAAGGAGCAACAUGUUUUGAAAACUCACAGUCAUGUACUAAUGAUGCAGUGGUUGACUCCGACUUUCAAAGCAUAAAUACUUCAAGUUCUCAACCACUGUCACAAAUAUCGUCAUGGAGUGAGGAAAACAUUGAUACAGUUCUGACUGAUUUGAAUGAUGCCAUAGAUGUUUUAGGUCAUGGACAAAUCAGUCCAAUAAAGUACAGAGUAAGACGUGAUUUAGACUUGUUGCAGCCUUCUUCAUUACGCACAGUCAAAAGAAAAGCAGGAGAAACUAUAAAUUUAUUUCUAGAUGCAAUUGCACCUGGGCAAAGUACCAAAUUAUUAAAGAUUCUACAAGAGCCAGACAGUAAGGAUGACACUGGAAAUUUACAUGAAGUGGUAUUAAAUUUGUACAUGGAGAGCUCAGACAGAAG